RNAcentral lists this long non-coding RNA (757 nucleotides) under Ananas comosus (pineapple). Its description in RNAcentral is "long non-coding RNA (ACOM_LNC014736)". Lineage: Eukaryota; Viridiplantae; Streptophyta; Magnoliopsida; Poales; Bromeliaceae. The record is from RNAcentral.
AUCGAUGUAAUGUUCUCUUAUUUAAUAAAUCUUAUUUUACCCGCAUUUUUUUUUUGUUUGGUUGUUUUCUCUCUUUUAUGAUUGUACCAGAUUUGUCACGCCCCGGGGUCCCUUUUCAGUUUAAAACAAAGCGGAAAAACGUCUGAAUUUUUUUUUUUUUUUUGAAAACCUGACCCCAGAGUACGCCAGAUCCGCCACAAAUAUAGGGAAUCCACUGUUCACACGGACAGAGUCUCCCCUGUAUUUGCACGGCGUCGAUCAAAUACACAGUACAACCAGGAUACAACCACAACCAGAUGAAUAUAAAGAUAACUAUACAUUCAUACAUUCACCAUUCACAUCACAGUUUUACAUUCAAGGUUUAAACAGAAAUCCACAAAAAUCUUUUGAAAACUGUUUCCUACACAGAAACCUUUAUUCUUUUAAAAACGCUACCACGAGGGGUAGAAAACCUUUUAUUUUACAAAAUCCAGAAAUCCACAUUUUCAAAUGUAAAUAAAUACUGAACCACAUAAACCAACUAAACUAUAUAACAACAGAAAUACCAAGGAUAAUAACUAAAUCGAAAUAACCUGGGUCGGAAGCUCUAUCGACCGCUACACACGUACCUCACGUCUCGUCCCACUACUCAUCGCCCGCGAUACCUGAAAAAUGGUGGGGGAGGUGAGAACAUGUAAACAUGUCUCCCCUCCCAGUGGGUACCGCAAGCCGAAGAAGGCGAGGAGUACUCACCGGAUCAGGAAGAGAGCUAUACAAC